GGGGUUAUAGCUCAGUGGUAGAGCAUGUGCUUAGCACACACACGUCCCUAGGUUCAAGCCCCAGUACCA
This 69-nucleotide transfer RNA is filed under the name Fukomys damarensis (Damara mole-rat). It matches the Rfam family "tRNA". From Rfam's summary of the family: Transfer RNA (tRNA) molecules are approximately 80 nucleotides in length. Their secondary structure includes four short double-helical elements and three loops (D, anti-codon, and T loops). Lineage: Eukaryota; Metazoa; Chordata; Mammalia; Rodentia; Bathyergidae. The record is from Rfam by way of RNAcentral.